This 5179-nucleotide long non-coding RNA is filed under the name Homo sapiens (human). RNAcentral's name for it is "HSALNT0042699". Lineage: Eukaryota; Metazoa; Chordata; Mammalia; Primates; Hominidae. The record is from RNAcentral.
UCGUGAUAGUGAACAAGUCUCAUGAGAUCUGAUGGGUUUAUCAGGAGGUUCCGCUUUUGCGUCCUCCUCAUUUUCUCUUGCUGCCGCCAGGUAAGAAGUGCCCUUCACCUUCUGAGGCCUCCCCAGCCAUGUGGAACUAGCCAUCUUUCUCCUCUCUUUUAACAAAGCACCCUCGCUGUUGGUCCCUGCAAGCUUCAAAGAAUAAAAGGCAAUGCAGAGAAGGUCCUCUCAGAUCUACCAUGUGAGUGCACACAUCCUUCCAGUCAACCAGAGUUUUCCAAAGUCCAAAUAGCUGUCACCAGUGAUGGGCUCUUCCUGAGACAGUAUGAACGAAUCCCUACCCUGCCCUGUUCCCGCUUAAUGUCUUUCCUCAUCCAAAUGACAAUGGUAUGUUUGCCGCACAGCCUGCCCGCUACUGACCCCUGCUCCCAGGUCUGUGAAAAAGACCCGGCCUUAGUGAGGUUUGUCAUUCAGGAAGCUGCUCAAGUGUUGAGGGCUGCAGAGAAUUCACUUCUGCUCAGUCCUUGAAGACAUUUCUCUGGGCGUGACUUCCAGACUCUGGUGGGCAUUGGCGAGAACGACAGAGAGAAAUGAUGCAGUGGUCAACAGGACUUCCACACAAAUGUCAAUGCUUGGUGGGGUCGCUUUGGGACUCUGAGAUUCUCACGCAGGAAGUUUACUGGAGCAUGUUCUUAGGAACAACACCUGUCUCUAAUGUGAGAGGAGAAAGAAGAAGGCAAAGGGAGAGUCUGAACCUUGAUGCAGUCACAGCACAGACCUGAGCUGACCCUGCAGGGAGCUCUGGGGCUGGGAUGGUUCUGCAGAGUCCAGUGCGUGCCAGGCCAGCUUGCAUGGGCUUGGGCAGAGCUGGUGGUGCGCACUUCUUCCCAACUUCACAUUCAAUGACAUCAUGUUGAUAUCUUGAAACUGGUGGCACAUACGUUUAUAACACAAAAAUAGGCAAUGCUAGAAACCAGGGGUUCUCCCACUUCCCUUGCCUAGAAAGCUGGUUUGCCAGAAAAGCCACAGUGAAGAAAGAUUGCUUCCAUAUCUAUCUCUGUGCCCAAAUUCAUGCAAUAAAUUCUUCGCUGUUGUUUGUUGUUGUUUUUGAGAUGGAGUCUCACUCUGUCACUCAGGCUGGAGUGCAGUGGCACGCUCUCGGCUCACUGCAACCUCCGCCUCCCGCGUCCAAGCAAUUCUUCUAUCUCAGCCUCCCGAAUAGGUGAGACUACAGGUGUGUACCACCAAGCCUGGCUAAUUUUUUUUUUUAGUAGAGACGGGAUUUCACUGUGUUAGCCAGGAUGUUCUCGAUCUCCUGACCUCCUGAUCCGCCUGCCUCAGCCUCCGAAAGUGCUGGGAUUACAAGUGUGAGCCACCGCUCCCGGCCCCAGUAAAUUCUUAAUUGUUAGCAGUGCCACAGUAGAAGGAAUUCUAUACAAUAAUCCUAAGUCUUGUAUUGUUAUAGCUUCUCUAGGCCAAGCCUCCUCUGUUCUACCAAGUAUUAAUCUAAUCUCAGGAUUUCUAUCCCUGCCAUGCUAUCAGUGAUUUUUCUUACUGCCUUUCUGAAAGAGGCAACUAAGCUCCCAUGAAAAUGGAACAAUCUCUUUAAGAUACAACUUAGUGAUAUGACCUCCAAAGCCCAAGUGACAGAGUUAUCAAAGAAGUAUCUAAUAAGUACUAGAACGAUCAAACAAUAUCCUGAAUAAAGUACUUAGAAAGAAAAAAGAAACCCAGCUGAAAUGAUUACUGAAAUGAUUUUGUUUAAAUGUAUUGCUAUGCCUUUACUUGUAAACAUGGUCAUUCAUACUAAUGAAGUAGAAUAACAAUAAUUAUGGCAUGUAUUUGUUUAAUGAAGUCAUAAAAGAUUUUUGCAGCCAGUUUAGGGUGCAGAAGGUAGGAGAAGAUUUUAGAUACAUUAGCCAAGAAUUCAACCAAAGAAUUUCAGUUAAAAUCACUCCAGCUAUUUUAAAAGUUGAUUUUAAACUUAGUCCAUCCUGAGAAGGAUAUUGCUGUAUGCAACUCAAUAUCCAAUUGCUGUAUGCAAAUACUAUUAUCUUUAAGAAACUCAGAGAGCUGGUAUGGGAGAGUUCACCAUUAGUUUGGGUAGCAGAAAUAUUUAAGGGUACUAUUCUGAACAAAGCUGCACAUGUAUCAGAGUUCUUUCUUCUUCUGAGCUCUUUAUAGAAAAAGGCAACUAAAGGAAGAUCCAAGAUUUGACAGGCACAGAUUAUACAGAAUUUCUUCUCAGCUUUGCACCCUACAUCCUAUACCCAUAUUAACUCCUGGCAAUGUAGUAAUUGCAAAAACAUCAGUUAGUUAGGCAAUCAAUUUAUGAAAAAGAAAUAAAUAGGCAUAAAAUGGGGGGGAAGUUGUCCUGAUUUUAAAUAAGGCUAGAAUGUGGAAACUCAAUAAGACAAGCAUGGAUGAUUCUGAAAUUUAGCGAUUAAAAAGUGACUCAGUGUUGACUAUAUCUAUUCUAUCGGCUACCACAUUUCUAUAACAAGCAUCAAAGAAGACAGAAAGUGAGGACUCCAACAAAUAUUCUUCCAUGACAUGAAAUCAUUGGGAGCAAACUGUCUUAUACAUCACAGCUCAGCACAGAGUCUAUUUCAAUAUCAUCUUCUUAAAUGAAUUGAUGAGAUAUAGCUAGGGCCACAUUUGGAUUCUGUAAUCAGUUUCUUAUUUCCUCUCCUGUUAUAUUCAUUGCUUCAUUCAAAAAAACUGUGUUAUUUUCUGUACUGUCAUAUUCUACUAGGGGCUAGGGAUACAGAGAAUCUUGUGUCUUUCUGAAGACAGAUAUCAUCCAGAUAAUAAAGUACAGUAAUGGAGAUAAUAAAAAACAGAGGGACCCUGAACUGUGUGGGGGGGGGUGGGGGUGGUGGUGGUGCGUGUGUGUGUGUGUGUGUAUGCAUGUAUGUCUUGGUGUGUGAUUAAAUGCAUUUUUCUCUUGAAUGAGGUAUUCAGAGUAUUGAUAAUUAAGAGCAAAGCUUCCGUUUUUUGGACUGUAAAAUAUAAACCCAGUUACUGUUUCUGCUGAUCAAACAGGGGAUAUUGAGAGGAUGAAGGAAUGUAGCCUGGAGCCCUAAAAAUAAUCUGGCCUAUUUUUCCUGAUUUUAAACUGAAAUACAUCUGAGCCAGUCUUUCAACAAUUCAGCAAUAUUUUUAUUUUCCUUUUACAUGGAAUUCACAUGCUAGGUGCUGAGGACUGAAAGAGGAAUGGAGAAAACCCAAGUUGUUCUCAAAGUCUUACUAAGCAAUAAAUUCCAAAUAUCUGGUAUACCAUGAGCCUUUUAAAAUUUUGAUGUAAUUUUAUAAUGCCAUUCAGGAAUAUAAAUGUUCUAAUUGAUAUCUACCUAUAAAAUUUUAGCCUAGAUAAAUGAGUUGUUUCACAAAGAAUUUUGGUAGAACAUGCAUUUACCUUUAUAACAAGCAAACAGAACAAUGGGAUAGAUCCUUGUUCAUGUCUGGCUGUCAAACUUUUUACAUACAGCUUUAGGUCUCUGCCUUUAAAAAUGGAAGAAACUAGUUCUUAAAAUUAAGUCCAUUCCAGGGCGUAUGUACAAACAAAUUUUGGAAAGUUUACAUAUUGACUGAGUCUACUUCUGCCCAACUGGAUUUCUCAGGUCAUGCUCAGCAUAUCUUGCAAACAAUGUUAUAGGAAACUAUGCCUUGUAAGCUCAUGGAAUUUGAACAUGGCUUCUGAUUUUAACACAGGCUCUCUGCAGCCAGUUAGCUCUAGUGAGAAAUGACACUGACCAUCUGGGGGCAGUUGUUUUGCUUUUGCUUAUUUUUCUAUAGGCAUUUUGUUCUAGAUCAGUCUUUUUAGAAAUGGAUAUUGUUAUCUGUUGAUAGGGAAAAUGGGCGAGAGAAUAGUCCAACAUCUGUACACAUAUAGCACCACCACUGAAAAACAGCAAAACAAAACCAAGAGCUUAAUGAUUAUGCCCUAUAGACAGUUGAAACAGCAAUAGUAUCUCUUAAUUUAAAGGAUGGCAUCUUGACCUGAUAUGUGCUGGGAAAACAAUCCUCCUCCUGACUUAAGUGGUUCUCCAUUAUAUAUCCAGGAAUUAUAUAUCCAGGAAUAUUUGGUACAGAUGCUGGCAGCUGUAUUGACCAGAGAGGCAUAACAGGGAAGCUGCAGCAGCCCCCAGAAGAUAGGAGAUUGGGAGGUGGUGCUUACAAAGAAGCCACCCUUUGCCCUUAAUCAAUCGUACUAGAUGGGGAUUUGUAUUUUGCAAACAUCAAUGAGAUCAAUGAGAUCUUGAAUGAGAAUUGAUCAAGAUCAAGGAGAUUUGUUGAAGUUGUACAUGGCAAGCAAUAGGCCUAGUAUAAGAGCACAGUGCCCUUUCCUCUGAAGCAUAAAGUUCUUUUCUCACCAUAGGUUUUUAUUGAUGAGCACUAAAAAGUGAACAGAAAAUGCACACCUGUUACUUCCAAAUUGGACAUAUUUUCCUUAGUAGACCUUCAAAAGAAAAAGGGAGUUAAAUCUGCCGCUGUGAAAGUGUUUCCCAUGCCUUGGCUAAGUUGUGAGAUAAAUCAGUUUAGAAAUGCCAUGAGUAGAAAGAGAAAUGGUUAGAACUCAUGCUCAAAAACACAAGUCCUUUGAUUGGAAAACAAAGAUAGGUAAAGCCUGUAGACUGAAGAUCCCAAAGAACUUGAUCUGAAUGUCAGACACUCAAGAAAUAAGUUUGUAAAAGAAGGCUUACAAUUUUCAUUACAAUUAGGUGACAUGAAUGCAAUUUUAUACCUAUUCAGUACUUUGAUUAAUGCUAUUUUUUCCAGGUUUUUUGAUCUAGAAUCUCUUCUUGGCUAAGCAUAUAGGAUGCCACUUCUUGCUACCUCCACAGCAAUACAUCACCUGGACAGCUUGCCACUCUUUGUUGCCUUGAACUUCUCUGAUGUUUAGGCAGCCCAUUCUGGUACUGAGAACACAGUGAAUGAGCUACAUCCUCCUGCUUUCUUCUUCUAUUAUUACUUUUACCUGAUUUCUUCUCAGGAGGAAGCUGUACAUUUUAACAGGACAGAUAGGAGGAAAAGCAACUAUUUUUCUGCCGAGAUAACAAUUGACAACUUGGGGCAGUAUGUGCAGAGUUUUCCUGGAGUUGUAUUAAAAAUUAUCUGAUAAGCUGCCUUUGGGUCUGUGUGUUGUUUUCUUUGUGUCGGGCAUGCAGUGGGAUCU